AGUGAACGCUGGCGGUAGGCCUAACACAUGCAAGUCGAACGGCAGCACAGUAAGAGCUUGCUCUUACGGGUGGCGAGUGGCGGACGGGUGAGGAAUACAUCGGAAUCUACUUUUUCGUGGGGGAUAACGUAGGGAAACUUACGCUCAUACCGCAUACGACCUACGGGUGAAAGCAGGGGAUCUUCGGACCUUGCGCGAUUGAAUGAGCCGAUGUCGGAUUAGCUAGUUGGCGGGGUAAAGGCCCACCAAGGCGACGAUCCGUAGCUGGACUGAGAGGAUGAUCAGCCACACGGGAACUGGGACACGGUCCAGACUCCUACGGGAGGCAGCAGUGGGGAAUAUUGGACAAUGGGCGCAAGCCUGAUACAGCCAUACCGCGUGGGUGAAGAAGGCCUUCGGGUUGUAAAGCCCUUUUGUUGGGAAAGAAAAGCAGCAGGUUAAUACCCCGCUGUUCUGACGGUACCCAAAGAAUAAGCACCGGCUAACUUCGUG
Molecule: ribosomal RNA, 492 nt
Filed under: uncultured bacterium
Lineage: Bacteria
Description: partial 16S ribosomal RNA
Rfam family: Bacterial small subunit ribosomal RNA
Source: RNAcentral